UGCAUCCAGAAAGGAGAAAACGGCUGC
Molecule: non-coding RNA, 27 nt
Filed under: Homo sapiens (human)
Lineage: Eukaryota; Metazoa; Chordata; Mammalia; Primates; Hominidae
Source: RNAcentral